This is a long non-coding RNA of Neogale vison (American mink), 1135 nucleotides long. RefSeq lists it as uncharacterized. NCBI's taxonomy places the organism in Eukaryota, Metazoa, Chordata, Mammalia, Carnivora, Mustelidae. The record is from RefSeq and is a predicted model, not a curated record. The transcript has 4 exons.
GAGUGUGUUGUGGGAGGGGGUGGGGAGCUGGAGCAAAGAGGGCCGGGGAGGUGGGGGAGAGAGAGACUGGAGCAACUUAUGUGCACAGCCUUUCCAUAUACUAUGUCCUGGUGUGCCUGCUAGUAAACGGCAGCAUCAGAAGGGAGGAACUGCAGCUCCUCAUGUCCUGCUUAAGGAUGGUCCAGAAACCCCAGAUGUCUUGUCGCCUUUUCGCCUCCUCCACUGAGAGCAGCAGAUCAGUUCACGUUGACAGAUUAGAGGGGAAGUGUGCAAUUGUUUAUGGCUUCAGCUGUACAUAAAGGAGCCCUGGUAGCUUCUGCUGAGACUUUUCAGUAGAAAAUCCUUCAAAAAAGAAAAAAGAAAGAAAGAAGCAGCUAUUUUGAAGACUGACUUUCUAAAAUUAUAUUUAGCCUCCCAAUAGAUACCAGAUCGCGGAUGCCCUGUCCCAAGCAUAAAUCCCGUCCUGUUUACCAAUCCCUCAAAACCUUCAUGACCUUCAUAUUUAACGGGCAUUUUCAAGGAUCUGGCAAGACUGCCGGUUUGGUAAUGCAAGGCAGAAGAUAGUUUUCUCCAUGCCAUGGGGUGCAUGGCUUCUAGCUGCUUUGGUCUCUCAUCUCAUCCUAGCAGCCCUUCUACCAUCAAAGAAAGAAGGUUUCUUCCCCUUUGGCUCCAUCCUAUAAACAGUCUCAAGAAUGACUUACACUGGAUCAGCAGAGGUUGCAUACUCCUUCCCCAACCAGACACCAAGCCAGGAAGAUGGGGUCAUAUCCCAAUGUAUUAGCUAUAGAGUAAAAACUUAAAUUUAUUUCUUAACAUGCAUGCCUUUUAAUAGAGAGACUUGUAAACACUUGGGUACUGUCUUACAAAAAGCAGAACUCUCUAAAGAGGGUGACUGGAGGCUGACGCAGAACGACAUCCUGUUGUAUGAGAAAGUCCUGGGGGAAUUUACUCUUCUAACAGCUUGCUUAAUGCUUUUGCUUCCUGUGGAGUGGGCUGGGGUGGGAAUUUAAAGCAGACUUCUAAAUUGAGUUCUGCAGUGGAGGAACUUCUCUUAAAAUCUCUGCUGGAGUUACUUAAGACAUUGAACUGUCGGGGUGCCUGGAUGACUCAGUCAUUUAAGCGUCUAACUCUUGAU